GGAAUCUUGGGCAAUGGGCGCAAGCCUGACCCAGCCAUGCCGCGUGUGUGAAGAAGGCCUUCGGGUUGUAAAGCACUUUCAUGGGGGAAGAAAAGCUUGGGGCUAAUACCCUCGGGCCUUGACGUUAACCACGGAAGACGCACCGGCUAACUCCGUCCCAGCAGCCGCGGUAAUACGGAGGGUGCGAACGUUAAUCGGAAUUACUGGGCGUAAAGCGCGCGUAGGCGGUCCGGCAAGUGGGAUGUGAAAGCCCUGGGCUUAACCUGGGAACUGCAUUCCAAACUAUCGGGCUAGAGUAUGGUAGAGGGAGGUGGAAUUUCCUGUGUAGCGGUGAAAUGCGUAGAUAUAGGAAGGAACACCAGUGGCGAAGGCGGCCUCCUGGACCAAUACUGACGCUGAGGUGCGAAAGCGUGGGGAGCAAAC
RNAcentral lists this ribosomal RNA (423 nucleotides) under uncultured bacterium. Its description in RNAcentral is "bacterial SSU rRNA". It matches the Rfam family "Bacterial small subunit ribosomal RNA", at positions 358 to 773 of the family's 1533-position model. The record is from RNAcentral.